Fukomys damarensis (Damara mole-rat) is the source of this 623-nucleotide long non-coding RNA. RefSeq lists it as uncharacterized. NCBI's taxonomy places the organism in Eukaryota, Metazoa, Chordata, Mammalia, Rodentia, Bathyergidae. The record is from RefSeq and is a predicted model, not a curated record. The transcript has 3 exons.
CCCAAGCUUCUGGCUCCUGCAGCUCAUUCUUAGUCGUUCUCACUGUAUUAAAUAAAGUCCUUUCCUUCCCCAGGGCAGGCUGGCUAAGAUGGUGGACAGAUGUGCAGAGCCUUUUGCGUCUCCCACCUGCUCCCUGCUCCCUUCUGAACCUAGACCUUCACCUGUUUCAAAGCCUCUACCUGCUGAUGAAAAACAUACCCCUUCUAAACAAAAACAACACCUCAAGAAUAAGGAGAGGUAGAUUUGACAGAAAACUGAGGACCACAACCUGCAGUACUAAAAUUAUGAAUAAAAAUUCAGGCACCGCCUGGGACACAUCCAGAUUCAAUCACAGGAGGUGGGAACCCUUCCCAACAGCCUCAUGCCCUGAUGACUCAUCUUAUGCCCUGGGACAGAAGAUAAAUCAGCUGACUCUGGGAGACAAGAGCAUAUGGACCAGACCUUGCAGAACUCCCUUGGCAGGAUUCCUGGACUUGCAGAGAGAAAAGCACCCCACCCCGGAGUGCACAGCUGUCAAGACACUCUGUUUCACCUAAUUGUGUGUACAGUGUAUUCUAUGUAGCCCUGUGCCUUUCACUAUCCUAAUUUCACAAGAAAUCCAAGGCAAAGAGAUUAACUCACAG